UACGAAGGGGGCUAGCGUUGCUCGGAAUCACUGGGCGUAAAGCGCACGUAGGCGGAUCUUUAAGUCAGAGGUGAAAUCCCAAGGCUCAACCUUGGAACUGCCUUUGAUACUGGGGAUCUCGAGUCCGGAAGAGGUGAGUGGAACUGCGAGUGUAGAGGUGAAAUUCGUAGAUAUCAGGAGGAACACCGGUGGCGAAGGCGGCUUUCUGGACACUUACUGACACUGAGACGCGAAAGCGUGGUGAGCAAUCAGG
Molecule: ribosomal RNA, 253 nt
Filed under: uncultured bacterium
Lineage: Bacteria
Description: partial 16S ribosomal RNA
Rfam family: Bacterial small subunit ribosomal RNA
Source: RNAcentral